AUACUCCACCCUACAUACUAGCCGCCCAACCUACCUACUAGCCGCCCAGCCUAAAAGAGACUUUCAACUCCCAACACACCUUUGCUUAAGGCAACUCCUCUGCCAACUCAAGAGAGAAUGCAGCCAAGUUCUCCUUCACUCAUAUUCCACCCAAAUUGUUUUCGCAAAGCCAAGUUCAUACAGGAGCAUUCAUCAAGUUCUUCCUCACCACAAAUCCAGCAAUCAAUCAACUUCAAAGUUUCAACAGAUUCAUUCUGAAAGGACCUACAGAAGAGGAUACUUAGUUUCCUGAUCAGCUCAGUUAAAUUAUUUGGAUUGUCUCCAAAUCAGGUGAGGCUUUAUUUACGAAAUGUAUGUUUGAGCUAAUAAGCUCGGUUUUAUGUAAGGUUAAAGUUGAUGGUUCAUGCUUAAAAUGUUUUUGCUCUCUAUUGGUUAUUGCUUCUACCAGAACAUUGUUGGCUCCGCCAACCAGAACAUUGUUAGCUCUGCUAACCAGAAUUGUGUACGUACACCAGAACCUGUUGUCUUGAGAGAUUCGAUGACAACCAGUUGUAGAUAGCACGCCCAAUAGAUGAGCAAGGAAAAUAUGAGCUCAGAUUAUUUUAGUAUGCAUGGAAUGACUCACUUUAAAAACAUUCUGUGUUAUACUGUUUAAGGCAUGAAUUAUCUUUUUCAGUAAAUGAUUUUUAAAAUGUUUUUAAAUGGCUCAACCCACUGAGUACACUAGUACUCAGCCCUGCAAUUGUUUUCAAAACCUUUUGCAGAUUGAGCAGCUGGUGGCGACGUGCGAGGCUGAGGAAGGGUUGUUGUUAUGGAUUUUGAAGAAAUGCUAUGUUUACUUCCGCUGAAAUAAAUUCACUUAGUGAAUAUUAUCUUAUGCCUAACUAUGUUAAUACUUUUAUUCAUAUUUUUAAUAUGAAUUUCACUCUCCAUCACUUUCUUAGCGAUUGUUUUCCGCAUCUAUCAUAUGUUUAGUAUGAGACGUUGUCUUGGUCUCAGACCUUCGAACUUUCGAUCCUGAUAGGGAGAAUAAUUAUGUUAUAAUGUCGUACUUGUUUUCAUUUAAAUACGGCAUAAUGCCCAACCCUCAGGGCACAUUACCUAUUUAAUUCAAGUAAAGCUUAGUAGUCCUGUCA
This is a long non-coding RNA of Salvia miltiorrhiza (redroot sage), 1136 nucleotides long. RefSeq lists it as uncharacterized. The record is from RefSeq and is a predicted model, not a curated record. The transcript has 2 exons. Lineage: Eukaryota; Viridiplantae; Streptophyta; Magnoliopsida; Lamiales; Lamiaceae.